AAUUUUGUUCUGUUUUAUACCAGGUAGGUGUAAAUAAAUUAAUUUUAUGUUGUGACAAAUAAUGCGGUAGCUUUUAUAUCUGUUUUUCAGCUUUUAUUAUGUAUACUCUUUUGGCGAUGAGGUCAGAUGAGCGUAAAUAUCUAAGUUUCAUGUUUUGUAAAAAAAGGGUUAAAAUUACCCAGUUUUGUUAAUUGUGUUAUAACUUUAUGAUAGUGUUUAAAUUGAUUUUAUUUAUUAGCUGUUAAUUUAUAACUUUUAGUAUCCAUUUUAUGAUUAAAUUAGUAAUCUUAAUAUAAUUAUUGUUUCUCGAAGGCGGCCUGUCUGUUUAUUAAAAACAUUUCCACUCGUUCUUUAUGUGUGGUAGUGCCUGCUCUAUGCGUUUUGUAAAUGGCCGCAGUAUCUUGACUGUGCGAAGGUAGCAUAAUUAAUUGCCUUAUAAUUGAAGGCUUGUUUGAAAGGUUUGACAAGGUGGUGCUUAACAUUAUUUAUUUUUUUGAAUUUAAUUAUAGGGGCACAGAAUCCCUUAUUGUUAAUUAGACGGAAAGACCCCGGGAUCUUUCAUUUUGUCUGGGGCAGAUUGUGGUGUUUUACUAACAAAUUAGACCCUAUUGGUGCAUUGGUUUAAGUUACCCCGGGGAUAACAGUGUAAUAAUUUAUUAGAGAUCUUAUCGAAUUUAUUGAUUGCCACCUCGAUGUUGACUUAGGUUUAAGUUUAGGCGCAGUAGUUU
RNAcentral lists this ribosomal RNA (728 nucleotides) under Anthemobothrium sp. AW-2016. RNAcentral's name for it is "partial 16S ribosomal RNA". The stretch from base 316 to 470 matches the Rfam family "Archaeal large subunit ribosomal RNA", at positions 1889 to 2090 of the family's 2987-position model. The record is from RNAcentral. Lineage: Eukaryota; Metazoa; Platyhelminthes; Cestoda; Lecanicephalidea; Polypocephalidae.